UAAUAUAAUUUAACAAUGGAUGGGUGUUUGGUUUUGAUGAAAAGUAAAUUAAACUUAAUUAAAUUACAGAAUUUACAAAAACAUGAAAUUAAAAUGAAAAGAUAAAUGACGGACUAGCUAGAGGGUUCUUCUCCACACAUGUUAUACUUGCAUACAAAAUGAUUUCCAGUUGUUCAUUUAAUAAAUUUUGAAUCUCAAUACUCCAAAUUAACCGUGAACAGCACUUUUUUAAUCUUCAAGUUUUCCUUAAGUUAUUGAAUUGGACGGGAAAACGCAU
RNAcentral lists this long non-coding RNA (277 nucleotides) under Malus domestica (apple). RNAcentral describes it as "long non-coding RNA (MDOM_LNC018853)". The record is from RNAcentral. Lineage: Eukaryota; Viridiplantae; Streptophyta; Magnoliopsida; Rosales; Rosaceae.